RNAcentral lists this ribosomal RNA (372 nucleotides) under uncultured organism. RNAcentral describes it as "bacterial SSU rRNA". It matches the Rfam family "Bacterial small subunit ribosomal RNA", at positions 526 to 896 of the family's 1533-position model. The record is from RNAcentral.
CGUAGGGGGCAAGCGUUGUCCGGAUUUAUUGGGCGUAAAGAGCGUGUAGGCGGCUUUGCAAGUCCGUUGUGAAAACUCGAGGCUCAACCUCGAGACGCCGGUGGAAACUGCAAAGCUAGAGUCCGGAAGAGGAGAGUGGAAUUCCUGGUGUAGCGGUGAAAUGCGCAGAUAUCAGGAAGAACACCCGUGGCGAAGGCGGCUCUCUGGGACGGUACUGACGCUGAGACGCGAAAGCGUGGGGAGCGAACAGGAUUAGAUACCCUGGUAGUCCACGCCGUAAACGAUGGGUGCUAGGUGUGGGCGGUGUCGACUCCGUCCGUGCCGAAGCUAACGCAUUAAGCACCCCGCCUGGGGAGUACGGCCGCAAGGCUA